CCACAUCAUGAAAGCCGUUUGUACCCGAAGUCACUGUAUCAACCAGCAAUGGAGAGAGGUGCCGAAGGUAUGGAUGGUGACUGGGAUG
Molecule: ribosomal RNA, 88 nt
Filed under: uncultured bacterium
Lineage: Bacteria
Description: partial 16S ribosomal RNA
Source: RNAcentral